Long non-coding RNA from Equus caballus (horse), 2260 nucleotides. The record is from Ensembl. NCBI's taxonomy places the organism in Eukaryota, Metazoa, Chordata, Mammalia, Perissodactyla, Equidae.
UGUGAUCUAGUUACAGCACAGAUCAAGCUAGGACGAAGAAAUCUCCUUGGAAUUAGAUGGAGUUGGUGAAGCACAGGGACACAAUAAAGACUGAUUCCCUCAAUAAUGCUCCAGAUCCAGCGCCUUCCCAGCAGCCCUGCACACCUCUGUGAGACUUGACUACAGAGUGAGAGCCUGACUGUCAAAUUCUACCAUAUGAAAGUGUUUUUAUUUCCUUGUAUUUGGGUCCUCAAGUCCGGAGCCACAUCCUUUCUCAGGUAAUUUGGCUCAUCAUGAAGAAGCGUGCACCGAGAGUCAAGGAGAACCAGGACAGGCAGGGGCUGCUCUUCCCGGCAGGAAACUACCUCUUCACCAUCUGAAUAAAGGGCACAACCGCUAACUCAGUCACUGUGAAAAAAAAUCUGAGAAUGAUCUUUGGCUUAUCUUUUUUUCUCAUCUGUCUCACAUCUGCAAAGGCUCUAAGUUGGGAACAAUGAUUUUCAUGUCUGUGUAACAGUAAAAAGGCUGGAGCAGUGAGUGCAGGGAAAGUAAGGAACGAGAUCACAGAGGUGCCCUGACGCUUCCUAUGGAGAGUCUUAGAGGUCACAGCAAGAAUUUGUAUUUUAUCUUCUGUUUUACCCUGCGUAUGAUGGAAAACCACUGGACAAUUUUGAUCAGAGGAGAACAAUCAGACUUACCUUUGGCAAACAUCAUUAUGGAUGGUGUGUGAAGAAUUGACAUUAAAGAGCCAAGAGUGUAAGAGGGAAAACAAUUAGAUGCUAUUUCAGUAGUCCAAGCAGAAAUAAUGGCUGCUCAAAAUUGUGGUCUCAGUGGAGAUUGGAGGGGAUUUGGUAUAUAUUUCUAAGGUAUUGCUGCCACGAUUUUCUAAUGGAUGGAUAAAUGUAAGGUGACAUUAUUGAGUUAAAAAAUCUCUAAAUUGUCCUUCAGCCUUAAAAUGCCAUGAAUGUCACUAGUCCUAGAGGAUGUGGGUGUUGCAAUAUGUACCAUUAAUUCUCUGCCUUCUGGGAGUCGCCCCCUUGCAGUGCAUGCACUACAGCAGAAAGAGCAUGUCCUUUGGAGUCGGAGAACAGGGGUUUGAGUUGGAGUGGGUAACGCAGUGUGCCCUGCAGAGCCACAAGAGAAUUAAAUGAUACAGUGUGGGAGAAUCUCUUGGGUACCAUGCAACAUGGUGUAGGGACUCAACAAAAAUAUUUCAUUCCUCUCCAAAUUACCUGCCCUCUACAAGGGGAUUCCUUUCUCUGGCUUACCGGGCUAUGGGGUGGCAAUCUUCCUUGCACAUUCUUGGGCUCCAUACUCAAGAUGUCCCUAACAAUGCACUCCCUUCUUGCCCUUUAGUCUGUAUAUUUGUGUUUAUUAGAGUUGAGAUGACAAAAUCAGAAUUUCCAGAGAAGUGACCCUUAAAUGGGACUAAAAUGAAAGUGUCCUUAGUUUGAAAUUUCAGGUCUUUAUUAUCUGUUUCAUCAUAUCUAGCCUGGGUUUACUCAUAAAGUGUCAGUAUUGCAUUGACUUUUUAAUAAAACUUCUAAAUUCAGAAUUACUAACAUAUAAUAAAGCUUUCACAUGCACAUGUGUAACUACUUUAUAUUCCUUUGUAUUUUUCUCUCCUUUCUUCCUUUUUUGUAAGCCUUAGUUAACGGUUUACAUUCUCUUGUACAUGUAGAUCAGCAAAAAGAGGACACAAGAAAUUGAGUUAACAGAUAAUAUUUCUAUAAAAUCUUGACUGUUUUAUCAGUACCUUCAUUUUAUUAAUAUUGGAUACAUAUAAUUUGGUGAUGAGACAUCCAAUUUUAUGUAAUAGCAUCACAGAAUUUUACUUGGGAAAGUUCAAUUUUUAAAAUAUUUAUCACUGAAUAUCCUAUUAAAUAAAUAUUUAGGUAGAAUUUUUGUUAGAUAAUACUUUUUUUAGAUAGUAAUUGGAAUAUCAGUGAGCUUUCAGAAAUUAUGCAAGUUAGGCAGCUGACUUCUCCCCAUGCAUGACAUCUUGGUAGAGCCUCAAAAUCUAGUAUGAAACAUGACAAACAGAUGUUUACACAGUAUAGUUAGGAAGAUAACAGAAGAAGCAAGCUAAUAAAAACCCAUGACACCAAAGGCAAAGAAUUUCAUUUCUGUGCAUUUCUGUUAUUUACUUGUAUAACUUCUAUUGGUCAGUAGCGGAAAGAAACCCACCAAACGGGCAUGUCCUUCUCCAGUGUCCUAUUUAAGUCUAAUCAUUUAAUCUCUACACAGCUGAUUGCCUCCUUCUGUACUGUGUACUUUCUGA